This is a long non-coding RNA of Sander lucioperca (pikeperch), 682 nucleotides long. RefSeq lists it as uncharacterized. Lineage: Eukaryota; Metazoa; Chordata; Actinopteri; Perciformes; Percidae. The record is from RefSeq and is a predicted model, not a curated record. The transcript is spliced from 4 exons.
AGAUUAAUCCAUUCCACAGGCAAGAAAGCAUUUCAGGACGGAGCGUGUGUCUGGAAGCCCUGUCCGUCAGCAGAUGUUACUGCCUCCACCACCUGCAUAUGAGUCAACACCACACAGGAAACCUGCCAGUCGCCCAGAGCUGGAUGGGUCUAUUGUAACGCAAGCUCUGCCUGCCACUUCAUCUUGGGACCCAGUUGAAGGUACAGUGGCUUUGAAUUUUCCAUUUUCAAUUAAAUACAAUUUCAUGACAAGGAACUUGAGAGUAACUUAACUUUUUUGUUGUUGUAAACAGCAGAACUCAUCACACAGAGGGAGGUGACUCAUCACACAGAGAGGCAAGAAGACUCACUUAAGUUGUUCACAUAUGAAAGUAUAUAAUGUAUAACAACUAAAACCAUUAAUUAUUCCAUGAGGACAUCCAUUACCCGCAUGGCACAGCGGAUGGACACAUUUGAGGAAAAGAUGGAUGAGCUGCUCAUGCUCUUAAGGAGCUCCCAGUCACCUCCCUCUGCUCCAGUUGAUGACGUGUUGCUGUCGCCCUGCUCGAUGGUCACUGAGCUGCAGGAGUUAGACAGGAGUCUCGGUCAACAGGAGAGGAGGAACAAAAUGCAACUUUUCCUGACAACUUUGGCGGUUCGACCAGAGGUACUGCCAUCCGUCGCAUGCUACGGUGAGUGGCAAC